This 66-nucleotide transfer RNA is filed under the name Eunoe nodosa. RNAcentral's name for it is "tRNA-Gly". The record is from RNAcentral. Lineage: Eukaryota; Metazoa; Annelida; Polychaeta; Phyllodocida; Polynoidae.
ACUUUAUGAGUAUACCUUGUACCUCUGCCUUCCAAGCAGAAAGAUUGAUAAAUUUCAAAUAAAGUA